Molecule: ribosomal RNA, 250 nt
Filed under: uncultured bacterium
Lineage: Bacteria
Description: partial 16S ribosomal RNA
Rfam family: Bacterial small subunit ribosomal RNA
Source: RNAcentral
UACGUAGGUGGCGAGCGUUAUCCGGAAUUACUGGGCGUAAAGCGCAAGCAGGCGGUCUGUUAAGUUUGACGUAAAAUCUCCUGGCUUAACUGGGAGGGGUCGUUGGAGACUGGCAGACUUGAGGCGAUGAGAGGGGCAUGGAAUUCCCGGUGUAGUGGUGGAAUGCGUAGAGAUCGGGAGGAACACCAGAGGCGAAAGCGGUGCCCUGGCAUUGGCCUGACGCUGAGAUGCGAAAGCGUGGGGAGCGAAC